Long non-coding RNA from Aquila chrysaetos chrysaetos, 449 nucleotides. RefSeq lists it as uncharacterized. The transcript has 2 exons. Lineage: Eukaryota; Metazoa; Chordata; Aves; Accipitriformes; Accipitridae. The record is from RefSeq and is a predicted model, not a curated record.
ACAUUACGGUGCAGAGCGGCGCCUCCCGCUUACUUAUACAGGGUGCGGGGCGCACAGACCCGCUGGCAGCCGUGCGCAUGCGCGCUCGCCCCUACAUAACGGGGCGCGCACGCGCGUAGGGUUCAGUCUGAGGCGAGCCGAGCGGAGGUGCUUAGCGCGGCCCGGGAGUGCUCGGCCUUCCCGGACGGACGGCUGAUGGAGAGAAGCGGACCUGCCGGUGCUACUGGAGGUGGCAGAGCUCGGCCCUACCUUCACGGCUGCGAGCUGCCAGCCCUGCGGCGUGCGGUGCGGUGGGCUGCUGCUUCUCCUUCGGCGUCGUUCGUUCCUCUUGGGCGCUGGUGAAGGUGAGCCUGGCAAAGCAAAGGGGAUGCUGUAGUGGAUGAUGACAGUACUCGCAGCCGGAGGGCUUUUUGUGUUUUUAUGCGCAAUAAAAGAUGAAUUACUUGAAA